GGAAAUUGAAUGAAAUUUCUGAUCACUAAUAACCGGUAUCCAGAUUUGUAAAUCUUAGCCACUAUUACAUGCAUAUCUCGCAAUUUCACAUUGAUGUUUACAGACCUCACUAAACAGAGACGAAUUUAGUGCUAGUUCAGCAAGUUCAGAAAGUACCCGUUAUUCUCUCAACUUGUAUCACGUAUACAAAUGCAAGGAUAUUGUACAUAAACGAUCACAACUCUUUUGAACCCAAUGACACUUUUAACUUCUGGAUUGCAACUAAGUUUCUGAAAAAGUUGGUGCUAAUGAAAGUGGUGAAACAGUCUCACAAGCCUGAGAAGUAUUCGCGAGCUUCAUAAUACCGAUCCAACACUACGUUGAAGAGUGGGUGAACCUGUUCCAACAGACAUUUGGAAUAAGGACCAAAUACAUCCCUGGGUAAUGGUGGAGAAUCAGCUUCGUCGGUCCAGCUAUACUGAGCAAUUGAAAGACCACUUAAACAGUAACAGGUAUGGUAGUAGUCUCUACCCUUCCCAGGUUUGUCUCUGAAACCACCUACUUCAAUCUGGGAGCAAAGAAGAACAUAUUGCUGCAGAUACAUGCUGUCAAAGAGAGGCCUCAUAGCUAUGGGUCGGUUGAUAAACUCAUAUCCAGUAUCUGCUAUUUUUGGGCUAUGAGAAGCAUUUUCUUGACAAGCACCUGCUUGUCCAAGAGGGAAAGUAUCCUGAACAUGAGAGGAUGUCCCUUCCAAAAGCUCUUCUUCAUCAGAUAACUCUGACUCUGAAGAAUCAUCAGCACUUUCUGUACUGAGGUCAUUUGACAGCCCUAGUUGUUCAUGGACUAUCAAAUUUAGUCUUUGUAUAAGAAACACUACCGCGCCCUGCCAAAAGGAAUAGCAGCCAUCGACUAAUUUAUUUGUCCUGCCUUGAAAUCCACCUUCGACCCCUUGUCUAAAUACCACCCAAUCAAUUAAACCUGGCAAGUCCAAUCGAUUCACUUCGUUGAUCAGAAUCAUUGCAGCCAACCCACAGAAAGUAUACCCACCAUGAGCUUCAGAACCUGGUUCGCCAGCAAUUCCACCUUCAUAAGUCUGACAACUUAGGAUGUAAUUUCCAACACCAUGAAUCAGCUCGUCAUCCACAAUGUUUAAUAUAUUUGCAACAGAAAUGGCAGUAUAACAGGCACGAACAUCUACUUCUCCACCAUCGUGCAUCCUGAAUCCACCACUUGCGUCUUUCAUUCGCAGCAAAAAUGUGUACAACUUUUCUCUAUUAAUUGAUGACAGAGCUUCAGGUUUGCCCAAAGUUAUUAGUGAAUUGACUGCAGCAUAAGUAGUUGCAAGAUGAGGCAUCUGACCAGGUCCACCUCCAUAGCCACCAUCUUUAUCCUGGCAACGGGUCAGAAAGUCAAUUGCAUCAUUUUCCAGUUUGCCACCAAUAGAUUCUCCCAACAAAGCGAUUGAAUGAAGUGUCCAGUAGCAAAGCCAUGGUCGACUGGCAUCCAAAACGGAAAACGACGGACCAAGUUUUCUGAGACCUUGGCUUAGAUAACCGAAGUGUUUGUCACGUUCGAUCUCUAUGAGGUCGGACGGGGAGUUGGGGGAAAUGCUGUAGAAAUAAUCGUAUAUCUCUCGGACUCGACGCUCCACCACCCAUUGAUCUUCCAGCGUCUUCGUCACUUUCCUCGACUCCAUUUUUUCACUACAACCGGUUACUACUCUUGACUGUAAAUUUCGUCAGCGACAAAUCAACGAUC
RNAcentral lists this unclassified non-coding RNA (1737 nucleotides) under Hevea brasiliensis (rubber tree). Lineage: Eukaryota; Viridiplantae; Streptophyta; Magnoliopsida; Malpighiales; Euphorbiaceae. The record is from RNAcentral.